RNAcentral lists this ribosomal RNA (365 nucleotides) under uncultured soil bacterium. RNAcentral describes it as "bacterial SSU rRNA". It matches the Rfam family "Bacterial small subunit ribosomal RNA", at positions 26 to 395 of the family's 1533-position model. The record is from RNAcentral.
AGAUUGAACGCUGGCGGCAUGCUUUACACAUGCAAGUCGAACGGUAACAGGCCGCAAGGUGCUGACGAGUGGCGAACGGGUGAGUAAUGUAUCGGAACGUGCCCAGUCGUGGGGGAUAACGCAGCGAAAGCUGCGCUAAUACCGCAUACGAUCUAUGGAUGAAAGCGGGGGACCGUAAGGCCUCGCGCGAUUGGAGCGGCCGAUAUCAGAUUAGGUAGUUGGUGGGGUAAAGGCUCACCAAGCCAACGAUCUGUAGCUGGUCUGAGAGGACGACCAGCCACACUGGGACUGAGACACGGCCCAGACUCCUACGGGAGCAGCAGUGGGGAAUUUUGGACAAGUGGGCGCAAGCCUGAUCCAGCAAU